AUAGUGAUACGGUGACGACGAUUACUUCAGCAGCGGUGGAGAGGAGGUAGCUAGGCAUGUAUUUAUACAAAAGGAAUAUGACGGAGAGAUAAUUGAUGAAUUAAUUAGAGAUAAAAAUGUGAGGAUUUUAGAUCGCAGUGGGCUGUUUGGAUGCAUUAAUUAGAAGUCUAGCGGAGGGAAGAUGAAGAGUCAUGCUGAACUAAUUAGAGAUAGAAAGGUGGGGAUUAUAAAUGACAUGCAGUGGGGCUAUUUAGAUGCAUUAGUUAGAAGUAUUGUAUUGGGACCGUUUAGUUGCAUUACUUAGAUUCAUUAAUUGAAAGUUUGGUAGAGGAAAGGGGAAGGUUCACAGUACUUCAAACAUGACUCGACCCAACCUAGCCUCAUGCUAUUUUGAACAUGACUCGGCUCAACAAGGCCUCCACUACAAGAUAGGAUGCUGGCCUAUUUAACCCAACAAUGAGGAUAAAGGAGAACUUGCCAUGUGCAAAAAAUAUUAGAAAUUUACUUAGGUUAAUAGCCUCACGCCAUUUCGAAUAUGACUUGGCCCAACCUGACCUCUCACCACAAGGCAAGAUGCUGACUCAUUUAAGCAAACAAUGAGGAUGAAAGAAAAUUUGCCUCAUGAUAAAAAAUAUUGGGAAUUUAUUUAAGUUGAUAGAUAGAUAAAUGAAAGUUUGGUGGAUGAAAGGGGAAGGAUCACAACACUUCAAACAUCACUUGGCCUAACCCAAUCUUACACCAUUUCGAACAUAACUCGGCCCAACAUGACCUCCCACCGCAAGGCAAGAUGCUGGCUCAUUUAAACCAAUAAUGAGGAUGAAGGAGAAUUGCCACAUGACAAAAAAAUAUUGAAAAUUCAUUUAGGUUAAUAGAUAGAUAGAUAGAUAGAUAGAUGGAUAGAUAUGAUGUUCUGUAUUUCACUAGUCAAUUUGUAAGACAAUGCGGCUUGUAUGGUGGAGACAGCAGAGCAAAAAAAAGGAGAAUUUAUAUGUAACACAUCAGUCUGUCAGUACAUCAUUAGUCUAUAAGAAAAA
Molecule: long non-coding RNA, 1034 nt
Filed under: Ananas comosus (pineapple)
Lineage: Eukaryota; Viridiplantae; Streptophyta; Magnoliopsida; Poales; Bromeliaceae
Description: long non-coding RNA (ACOM_LNC003907)
Source: RNAcentral